Molecule: ribosomal RNA, 486 nt
Filed under: uncultured bacterium
Lineage: Bacteria
Description: bacterial SSU rRNA
Rfam family: Bacterial small subunit ribosomal RNA
Source: RNAcentral
AGGACGAACGCUGGCGGCGUGCUUAACACAUGCAAGUCGAACGAGGUUAUAGGAGAGCUUGCUCGAAUAUAACCGAGUGGCGGACGGGUGAGUAACGCGUGAGCAACCUGUCUCACACAGGGGAAUAACGCAUCGAAAGAUGUGCUAAUACCGCAUAGGACCACGGUUUCGCAUGGGACUGAGGUGAAAGGAGCAAUCCGGUGUGAGGUGGGCUCGCGUCUGAUUAGAUAGUUGGUGAGGUAACGGCCCACCAAGUCAACGAUCAGUAGCCGACCUGAGAGGGUGAUCGGCCACAUUGGGACUGAGACACGGCCCAGACUCCUACGGGAGGCAGCAGUGGGGAAUAUUGGGCAAUGGGCGCAAAGCCUGACCCAGCAACGCCGCGUGAAGGAAGAAGGUUUUCGGAUCGUAAACUUCUGUCCUUGGUGAAGAGAAGUAGACGGUAGCCAAGGAGGAAGCCCCGGCUAACUACGUGCCAGCCGCAGC